AGAAAGUCACGGCUAACUACGUGCCAGCAGCCGCGGUAAUACGUAGGUGGCAAGCGUUAUCCGGAUUUAUUGGGCGUAAAGAGAGUGCAGGCGGUUUUCUAAGUCUGAUGUGAAAGCCUUCGGCUUAACCGGAGAAGUGCAUCGGAAACUGGAUAACUUGAGUGCAGAAGAGGGUAGUGGAACUCCAUGUGUAGCGGUGGAAUGCGUAGAUAUAUGGAAGAACACCAGUGGCGAAGGCGGCUACCUGGUCUGCAACUGACGCUGAGACUCGAAAGCAUGGGUAGCGAACAGGAUUAGAUACCCUGGUAG
RNAcentral lists this ribosomal RNA (309 nucleotides) under uncultured bacterium. Its description in RNAcentral is "bacterial SSU rRNA". It matches the Rfam family "Bacterial small subunit ribosomal RNA", at positions 485 to 793 of the family's 1533-position model. The record is from RNAcentral.